CCCGCGAACUCAUAACCACCCCGGGGAGGGGGACAGGGGGCGCACUCGUGCGCAACUUUCUCUCGCCCCGAAACCCGGAUGCUCCCCUGCCGUGCCGAACUUGUUCGGACGCAGCCAGGCUCGCCCUGCGGCAACAACAACGAACCCCGGCGCGGAAUGCGUCAAGGAAAUCAUAACGAACUCAGCACACCGCUGCCGACCCGUGCUGCAUCGGUGCUGCAAAUUUCGAUACUUAAACGACUCUCGACAACGGAUAUCUCGGCUCUCGCAUCGAUGAAGAACGUAGCGAAAUGCGAUACUUGGUGUGAAUUGCAGAAUCCCGUGAACCAUCGAGUUUUUGAACGCAAGUUGCGCCCGAAGCCACUCGGCCAAGGGCACGCCUGCCUGGGCGUCACGUACUGCGACGCCUCCAGAAGCCCUCUCCCGUCAGGCGGGAAGGUGCGGCGGAAGCGGAGAAUGGCCUCCCGUGCUUACGCACGGCUGGCCUAAAUGCUAGCCCGCGGGUAACGGUAGAGUAACGACAAGCGGUGGUCCAUACUUCGGCCCUUGUUGCGUCGUGCCCGCCCGGCCCCUCGGAGCUCAUCAUCCCCGGACGCGUCGUUCCGACGGCGUUUGCUUCGCGACC
Molecule: ribosomal RNA, 625 nt
Filed under: Myriophyllum mattogrossense
Lineage: Eukaryota; Viridiplantae; Streptophyta; Magnoliopsida; Saxifragales; Haloragaceae
Description: eukaryotic LSU rRNA
Rfam family: 5.8S ribosomal RNA (bases 239-394)
Source: RNAcentral